AUUGAACGCUGGCGGCAUGCCUUACACAUGCAAGUCGAACGGCAGCACGGGAGCAAUCCUGGUGGCGAGUGGCGAACGGGUGAGUAAAGUAUCGGAACGUGCCCAGUCGUGGGGGAUAACGUAGCGAAAGUUACGCUAAUACCGCAUACGAUCUAUGGAUGAAAGCGGGGGAUCGCAAGACCUCGCGCGAUUGGAGCGGCCGAUAUCAGUUUAGGUAGUUGGUGGGGUAAAGGCUCACCAAGCCGACGAUCUGUUGCUGGUCUGAGAGGACGACCGGCCACACGGGGACUGAGACAGGGCGCAGACGCCGACGGGAGGAAGCAGUGGGGAAUUUUGGACAAUGGGCGAAAGCCUGAUCCAGCCAUGCCGCGUGCAGGAUGAAGGCCUUCGGGUUGUAAACUGCUUUUGUACGGAACGAAAAGGUUUGGGCUAAUAAGCUGAGCUCAUGACGGUACCGUAAGAAUAAGCACCGGCUAACUACGUGCCAGCCGCCGCGGUAA
This 500-nucleotide ribosomal RNA is filed under the name uncultured bacterium. Its description in RNAcentral is "partial 16S ribosomal RNA". It matches the Rfam family "Bacterial small subunit ribosomal RNA", at positions 29 to 523 of the family's 1533-position model. The record is from RNAcentral.